CCUGCCCUUUGUACACACCGCCCGUCGCUCCUACCGAUUGAAUGGUCCGGUGAAGUGUUCGGAUCGCUGCGACGCGGGCGGUUCGCCGCCCGCGACACUGCGAGAAGUCCAUUGAACCUUAUCAUUUAGAGGAAGGAGAAGUCGUAACAAGGUUUCCGUAGGUGAACCUGCGGAAGGAUCAUUGUCGAGACCGAAAUUAUAUCGAGCGAUUCGGAGAACCCGUGAAAUAAGCGGCGGCCGCAGUCGCCGCGAAAUGGCCGUCCCCGCCGUCGGCCCCCCUGUCUGGAGGGGGCCGCGAUGGGGGACGGCUGAAACCCCAAACCGGUGCAGACUGGCGCCAAGGGAACUAUCGAAAGGCACGAGCCCGACAUCGGGUCCUCGUGGGGCGGAGCGGUGUUGCGCACCGCACGUAUUGACACGACUCUCGACAAUGGAUAUCUCGGCUCUCGCAUCGAUGAAGAGCGCAGCGAAAUGCGAUACGUGGUGCGAAUUGCAGAAUCCCGCGAACCAUCGAGUCUUUGAACGCAAGUUGCGCCCGAGGCCAAUCGGUCGAGGGCACGUCCGCCUGGGCGUCAGACGUCGCGUCGCUCCGUGCCAAGCCCACGCCGCCCCACCGUAGUGGGGGUGCCGGGCGAGGCUCGGACGUGCAGAGUGGCCCUUCGUGCCCAUCGGUGCGGCGGGCUGAAGAGCGGGUUGUCGUCUCAUUGGCCACGAACAACGAGGGGUGGAUGAAAGCUGCCGCGGGCAAGGCCCGCGUUGUCUCGUGCCGGCCCGAGAGAAGAUUGCGCCCUUCGUGCGAUCCCAUCCCAUGCGCCGUCCCCGGGCGGCGGCUUGGAACGCGACCCCAGGACGGGCGAGACCACCCGCCGAGUUUAAGCAUAUCAAUAAGCGGAGGAGAAGAAACUUACGAGGAUUCCCCUAGUAACGGCGAGCGAACCGGGACAUGCCCAGCAUGGGAAUCGGGCCGCCCUGCGGCGGCUCGAAUUGUAGUCUGCAGAAGC
This 1001-nucleotide ribosomal RNA is filed under the name Vanda flabellata. RNAcentral's name for it is "eukaryotic LSU rRNA". The stretch from base 1 to 184 matches the Rfam family "Eukaryotic small subunit ribosomal RNA", at positions 1652 to 1831 of the family's 1831-position model. Lineage: Eukaryota; Viridiplantae; Streptophyta; Magnoliopsida; Asparagales; Orchidaceae. The record is from RNAcentral.